CGUGUCCCUUGGCCUGCAAGGCCAUCCAACCGGUCCGUCCUAGAGGAGAUCCACCCUGACUGCCCCUUAGAAGGCCAGAUCCCGAAGAGGACAUUCCAAGACUUUGGCCACCUCAUGAGAAGGAAGAAGGACUCGCUGGAGAAGAGCCGAAUGCUGGGAACGAUGGAGGGCAAGAGAAGAAGAAGAAGAAGGGGACGACGGCAGAGAAGGAGGCGGCUGGAUGGAGUCCCUGAAGCAGCCGGCCUGAGCUUGAAGGGAUCCCAGGGGAGAGUAGAGGACAGGAAGGCCUGGAGGAAUGUGGUCCAUGGGGUCACGAUGGGUCGGACACGACUUCACAACUAACAGCAACAACAUGGUUGUAAGUCGAGGACUACCUGUACCCUAGAGUUUUGCAGCACUGCAGAAUAAUGCAAGAGUUGCAAGAAACCAAAUGAAAGGUGGGGGAAACUUGGGAGGGCGAACCUUCCCUCCCUUUCAUCGUGACCCUUCCUUUCUGGAUUCCGGAGAUUUUCAUCCAGUAUAUCCUGCUAAGGUUUUGAUUGGCGGGUCUGCAUAAGCCAGCAUGAAUCCUUGCUGCUUUGUGCUCAGGCAGCGCGACUGUGAACCACAGCCAUGUCCGACUUUGUGGAAAGCGAAGCGGAAGAAUCAGAGGAGGAGUAUGACGAAGAUGGGGAAGUGGUCUCGAGACCCCCCAAAAAGUUUGUGGAAGACGAAGACGAGGAGGAGGAAGAGGAGAACCUGGACGACCAGGAUGAACAAGGGAACCUGAAAGGGUUCAUCAACGACGACGACGAUGAGGAAGAGGAGGAGGAGGAAGAGGCCAGCGAUUCCGGAGACUCGGAGGACGACGUCGGCCGGAAGAAGAGGAAACGCA
RNAcentral lists this long non-coding RNA (874 nucleotides) under Notechis scutatus (mainland tiger snake). RNAcentral's name for it is "lncRNA (ENSNSUG00000009185.1)". Lineage: Eukaryota; Metazoa; Chordata; Lepidosauria; Squamata; Elapidae. The record is from RNAcentral.